GACAGCAGCCAUAUCGCCCUGCAGCCCAAGACUGGUUGCCCACUGAAGCUAAGCAGGGUUGAGCCUGGUCAAUACCUGGAUGGGAGACCUCCUGGGAAAACUAGGUUGCUGUUGGAA
Molecule: ribosomal RNA, 117 nt
Filed under: Sinocyclocheilus rhinocerous
Lineage: Eukaryota; Metazoa; Chordata; Actinopteri; Cypriniformes; Cyprinidae
Source: RNAcentral